UAGCAUAUCAAUAAGCGGAGGAAAAGAAACCAACAGGGAUUGCCUUAGUAGCGGCGAGCGAAGCGGCAACAGCUCAAAUUUGAAAUCUGGCUACUUUGUAGUCCGAGUUGUAAUUUGCAGAGGAUGCUUUUGGUGAGGUGCCUUCCGAGUUCCCUGGAACGGGACGCCAGAGAGGGUGAGAGCCCCGUACGGUUGGACACCAAACCUUUGUAUAGCUCCUUCAACGAGUCGAGUAGUUUGGGAAUGCUGCUCUAAAUGGGAGGUAUAUCUCUUCUAAAGCUAAAUACCGGCUAGAGACCGAUAGCGCACAAGUAGAGUGAUCGAAAGAUGAAAAGCACUUUGAAAAGAGAGUUAAACAGCACGUGAAAUUGUUGAAAGGGAAGCGCCUAUGACCAGACUUGUUUCUGUCAGUUUUGCUUGUUUUCGGACUUGUUUACUCUGUCAGUACAGGCCAACAUCAGUUUGUUGUUUGGGAGAAAGGCUUAGGGAAUGUGGCUCCCUCGGGAGUGUUAUAGCCCUUUGCAUAAUACCAUUCGGCAGACUGAGGACCGCGCUUCGGCAAGGAUGUUGGCGUAAUGGUCAUCAGCGACCCGUCUUGAAACACGGACCAAGGAGUCAACCUUAUGUGCGAGUGUUUGGGUGUAAAACCCCAGCGCGUAAUGAACGUGAACGUAGGUGAGAGCUUCGGCGCAUCAUCGACCGAUUCUGAUGUUCUCGGAUGGAUUUGAGUAAGAGCAUAUAGGGUUGGACCCGAAAGAAGGUGAACUAUGCUUGUAUAGGGUGAAGCCAGAGGAAACUCUGGUGGAGGCUCGCAGCGGUUCUGACGUGCAAAUCGAUCGUCAAAUAUGAGCAUGGGGGCGAAAGACUAAUCGAACCUUCUAGUAGCUGGUUCCAGCCGA
RNAcentral lists this ribosomal RNA (899 nucleotides) under Endoconidiophora polonica. Its description in RNAcentral is "LSU rRNA". It matches the Rfam family "Eukaryotic large subunit ribosomal RNA", at positions 36 to 964 of the family's 3401-position model. The record is from RNAcentral. Lineage: Eukaryota; Fungi; Ascomycota; Sordariomycetes; Microascales; Ceratocystidaceae.